Molecule: long non-coding RNA, 1354 nt
Organism: Papaver somniferum (opium poppy)
Lineage: Eukaryota; Viridiplantae; Streptophyta; Magnoliopsida; Ranunculales; Papaveraceae
Exons: 9
Source: RefSeq, a predicted model, not a curated record
UUGCUGAUCUUGGUGGUCAUAUCAUGCAUGGUCUACGUGAUCAGAAUGAGAACCAUGUCAUUCAGAAGUGUAUCGAAUGCAUUCGGCAGAAAUUUGCUACUAACGUUGUUAAGAAAUGUUUAACUUUUGGUGGCCCUGUUGAACGCCAGUUUUUGGUCAGUGAGAUGGUUUGUAUCUCCAAAUAUAUAAUGUUCUUCUACAGGCUAUGGUGAAUGAUUAAUUUGAUAAUUAUAUAGUGCAAAAAGUACUGGAGACUCGUGAUGAUCAAAUACCUAGGUUAAAUACCUGCUGUGUAUAUGGUGGAUUUCCUUAUGGUCCUCAAGAAGCUGCACUGAGAAGGGGGGUUGAUAUAGAGUAUAGUCAUUGGAACUUCUAGAAGAAUAAAGAUCGUGUUGAGAGGGGAAACCUUGACUUUGGUUCAUUAAAGUUUCAUGUACUUGACAAAGAUGAUGAGAUGCCUGACAUGGUUUUUUUUGACGAUGUCGAACUUAUUCUCGGUUUAGGUUGGAGGAUCACCAAUUCAGGUUGGAAAUCUGUUUCACAGAAGGAAGAGAAUUGGUUUGAACACCAGUAGGAUAUAAAAAUGACAUUUGUUCCUGCUUCAGAAAUGGUUAUAACAGCUGUUCAGACAAGUGGUGGUUGGUUUACUUUCAAUUCUGAUGCUGUAGAGGGAGAUCAAUCAAAACGAGAUGUUUUGGUAUUAUUACUACAGGACAUAUGUUAGAAGUGUGGGAAAAUGAAGAGAGCAUCUUGCAUCUUCGACACUGGUAAGGGGGAUGAUGUACUACCGAGGGGCUUUGAAGAUUCAAGCCUUCCUUGACAUGGCUGAUGAAACUGAAAUUUUGGAAGGCUACAAGGCAAUCUCCAUUCCAUCAGAGAAAGAGUAAAUGAGACAGAGAUCCCUCUUUGCUCAACUAGAGGCUAUUGCUGACAUGAAGUUUGCGUAUGUUGCUACUUGAAAGGGCUCUAUUUUUCUUCAGAAUCUAAUAUUUGGUGCUUUCUCAUACAGUAACCCAUCUCUUCGCGUAGCAUAUAUUUGAUGAAGUUGAAGUAAGCGAAGGUGGCAUUCUACAGAAGGUCUAUUAUUCCGUGUUAAUCAAAGCUGUUGAUAACCGUGAUCAGAUUUUGAGCAGCUUCGGUGAAAGUGGCGUGCGACAUCUAGCACAUUUCUCUUGCUGGUUCCAGUAGAAAUGCCUCACAAUUCAUGGUGACAACUUAAACUUCAACCUUUGGGCAUGCCUCAUGCAGCAAGAUGUUCACCUAGGUAGCUGGUUUCCGUAGUUCCAAAGAAUGUGAGUUCUUUUUCCUUUAAAUUGUUAUGUAAGAACCUUGAUGUGAUACUGAAUUUAUAGAU